Long non-coding RNA from Folsomia candida, 525 nucleotides. RefSeq lists it as uncharacterized. The transcript is spliced from 4 exons. NCBI's taxonomy places the organism in Eukaryota, Metazoa, Arthropoda, Collembola, Entomobryomorpha, Isotomidae. The record is from RefSeq and is a predicted model, not a curated record.
GAGUCUUAAAUUCUCGGCACGUGAAGUUUUGCAAUUUUUCAGAAAAUUUAACAAAAUUAUUUAAAAACUUCCGUUCAUUGGUGUCAAUCUGCUCGGUUAGAUUCGUUGGUUACUUUUGGUAAAUAGGUAACUUUGAGCAAGAAAAAAUGCCCGUAGGAAAGCCGUCGUCUGUGGGGUCGAAGUUGAAGGAUACGCUCAGCACUGUGACAUCAGUCGCUCAAUUUACUUUUCACUACGGCUACGUCCCUUUCCUCAUCUACCUCGGGUUUCGUCGUGGUCAUGAGCCGGGUCAGCCACCCCUCACACUUCUCAAUUUGCUGUGGGCGUGAGAUAAGCCAUCAACUUCUAAACAGAAAUCAUUUCACUGAUCAGAUCAUGUGGGCGACUUGUCAGCCCUCCGAAGAAGUCACCUCCAAUCUGCCACAAUUCUUCAACUUCCACUGUUCCUCAGUCAUAGUAUGUCAAGAAAUUCUUUUGUAACAACAGUCUUUGCUGCUCGAUUAAUAAAACAAAUCACAGUCACUA